UACGGAGGAGGCAAGCGUUAUCCGGAAUUAUUGGGCGUAAAGCGUCCGUAGGUGGUUGGCCAAGUCUGCUGUCAAAGGGUGGGGCUUAACCUCAUAAAGGCAGUGGAAACUGGCGAGCUAGAGUGCGGUAGGGGUAGGGGGAAUUCCCAGUGUAGCGGUGAAAUGCGUUGAUAUCAUCAGGAACACCAGUGGCGAAAGCGGCUUACUGGGUCUUUUCUGACGCUGAGGCACGAAAGCUAGGGGAGCAAACGGG
This 253-nucleotide ribosomal RNA is filed under the name uncultured bacterium. RNAcentral describes it as "partial 16S ribosomal RNA". It matches the Rfam family "Bacterial small subunit ribosomal RNA", at positions 524 to 776 of the family's 1533-position model. The record is from RNAcentral.